CUGUAACAACUUUUCUUUUCUGUCUGGCCUAUCUCACAUCGCUGGUAAUAGUUUUCGCAGCAGCAGCGGCGGCACGGUGUUGCAAGCCACCCACCCCUUUUGCACCAUUUCCGUGUUUUAUCCAGGAUCAUUUCCACACCGGCCGUGCCACGUCGAUUAAAUCGGUAGUUUGUGCAGAAUGCUAAUGUGACACGAUAGCGCCGUGACACCCAGCAACAUGUCUAAUGCGUGGAAAAUACGCUGCCAAAACACUGCGACAUUGUAGGAGAAGAGACACACAGCCAGUGAAUAAGUGGAGAGGGGUGCAUGACGUGUCCAAAUCAAUGAAUCCCAAACAGCUACGAAAAAAAAAAAAAAAAAAAAAUGCAAUGUGAACAUGAUGAUUUACCUAAUGCCACCUCGCAGGCUUUGCGCAACUGAGAGUGAUGAGCCUUUUUCACCUCCUUGUCGGCCAGGAUCUUUUCCAAAGCUCGGGCUGCAAAUCCCACACAUCUGGCGCCUGAGUGAGAUACAGCGAACAAUCAAAGGCUGCUGCAGAAACUAUCUGUCUCUGUUCUGAUGCUGAGACUGCAAAUCACUGUCCCCUGUCUGCUCUGGGCCAUCAUUCAGACUGCGGGGAGCACUUAAGACGCUGUGACCGCAUGUAUUCAUUUGCUACGGUGCACGGAACGCUUAAAAACUCAAACAAACCUUUUUCAGAUUAAUAAAUUUGGAGACUAAAACCUCAGUGCACGUACCUCUUUGACAAACCACUGGCAGAAAGCGGGUCCUAUCCACUCUCUCGCAUGGACGCCGCAGUCGAUCCACACAGCUUUUUUCUGGGGUCGACUUCUCUUUCCUAGCUGACAGGAGACAAGAACUGUCAGUAGGUUUUAGAGCAGUUUGGAUAUGGAUGCGUCUGUUUGUUUGUCUUUGUGUGUAGUUACAUGUGUUUGAUACAAGUCCCAUCCAGUAAUGAAAAUUGCCCCCACUCUUUUUCUGAGGAGGUGUCACAUUGCUCUGUCAAUACUGAACUAUAAAUAUGCUUUACUGUAACAGGACAGGAGCUUUUCAUGAGCAAACACAAAUCCCCCAUGUUUGUCUUGUUCUAGGCUGUGAAGUCGAGGUGAAAUGAAAAAUGCCUCUUUAACCCUUUUAUAUCACAUCCCUGGUCAUAU
Molecule: long non-coding RNA, 1157 nt
Organism: Myripristis murdjan (pinecone soldierfish)
Lineage: Eukaryota; Metazoa; Chordata; Actinopteri; Holocentriformes; Holocentridae
Exons: 3
Source: RefSeq, a predicted model, not a curated record